GACCCAGUGAUGCCCAUAUAGGACCCAGUGAUGCCCAUAUAGGACCCAGUGAUGCCCAUAUAGGACCCAGUGAUGCCCAUAUAGGACUCAGUGAUGCCCAUAUAGGACCCAGUGAUGCCCAUAUAGGACCCAGUGAUGCCCAUAUAGGACCCAGUGAUGCCCAUAUAGGUCCCAGUGAUGCCCAUAUAGGCCCCCUCCUGGCUGUGCAACAAAUCAUCCCUGACUACCACUCAUCCAGGAUACUGACUACCACUCAUCCAGGAUACUGACUACCAUUCAUCCAGGAAACUGACUACCAUUCAUCCAGGAUACUGACUACCAUUCAUCCAGUAUACUGACUACCACUCAUCCAGGAUACUGACUACCACUCAUCCAGGAUACUGACUACCACUCAUCCAGGAUACUGACUACCAUUCAUCCAGGAUACUGACUACCACUCAUCCAGGAUACUGACUACCACUCAUCCAGGAUACUGACUACCACUCAUCCAGGAAACUGACCACCCCUCAUCCAGGAUACGGACUACCAUUCAUCCAGGAUACUGACUACCACUCAUUUUUGUGGGCUGACCCCACCAACCCCACCAGAUUAUUCCUUUAUGUUUUAAAUAAAACAUCAAAUCUGUCUGGCAACAAAAAAAUCCACUGUGUCUGCAGGGAUGUACUGGUGGAGUGAGGGUAGAUGGCGAGAGGGAAAAGGGGGGAGGUUGAGAGAGGUUAGAUAUAUACUGCUCUACCACAGAGAGCGAAAGAUACUGCUCUACCACAGAGAGAGAAAGAUACUGCUCUACCACAGAGAGAGAAAGAUACUGCUCUACCACAGAGAGCGAAAGAUACUGCUCUACCACAGAGAGAGAAAGAUACUGCUCUACCACAGAGAGAGAAAGAUACUGCUCUACCACAGAGAGAGAAAGAUACUGCUCUACCACAGAGAGAGAAAGAUACUGCUCUACCAUAGAGAGAGAGAGAGACUGCUCUACCACAGUGAAGGAAAGAUACUGCUCUACCACAGAGAGGGAAAUAUACUACUCUACCAUAGAGAGAUAUAUAUGCUGCUUUACCACAGAGAGGGAAAGAUACUGCUCUACCAUAGAGAGGGAAUUAUACUACUCUACCAUAGAGAGAGAGAGAUACUGCUCUACUACAGAGAGGGAAAGAUAAUGCUCUACCACAGAGAGCGAAAGAUACUGCUCUACCACAGAGAGAGAAAGAUACUGCUCUACCACAGAGAGAGAAAUAUACUACUCAACCACAGAGAGAGAUAGAUACUGCUCUACCAUAGAGAUGGAUAUAUACUGCUCUACCAUAGAUAGGGAAAGAUACUGCUCUACCAUAGAGAGGGAAUUAUACUACUCUACAAUAGAGAGGGAUUGAUACUGCUGUACCACAGAGAGGGAAAGAUACUGCUCUACCCAAUAGAGGGGUAGAUACUGCUCUACCACAGAGAGGGGUAGAUACUGCUCUACCACAGAGAGGGGUAGAUACUGCUCUACCACAGAGAGGGGUAGAUACUGAUCUACCACAGAGAGGGAAAGAUACUGCUGUACCACAGAGAGGGAUAGAUACUGCUCUACCAUAAAUAGGGAAUGAUACUGCUCUACCAUGAGAGGGAUAUAUACUGCUCUAACAUAGAGAGGGAUGGAUGCUAUUCUACCAAAGAGGUUUGAGAGAAUGAUCCCGUAUGUCCUAUUGCACAUUAGAGGUCUGUGGCAUCAAUUAACCCAAACUGCCACUGUGGAGAAUCACCAGUAAAAAUUAUGCUAAGAUCCCGAACAGCAGCAGUCAUAGCCCAACAUGGGUAUGGAGUCUGCUGGGUGCUGGGGGAGUGCUUGGUGCAUGUGUGUGUUCAGGCAUGCUGUUAGUGUGUGUAUAUUCAGGCAUGCUUUUGUGCAUGUCUGGGUGAUGAGAUUAGCCUUUCUUUCAGUGCUAUCGAAGCCGCUCCAUUAAGUGUGGAAGUUGUCUGCUUCCCCAAUGGCACCCUGAUCAUUGUGUUGAACUAGUUAUGCCAUGUAGUUUAGCAGCAUUGAUAGAAAGGUCACAGUGGUAAACCAGUGUUCCUGUAACCCUAUGCUGUUGCAGAGUGAAUGCUUCCUCUUUUUAAACUUUAACUGUCAAAUUCAGUUGGAUCACUGCAAUAGUGAUACUAUUUUCUCCAUUAAUGUAUUGUUAAUUAUAUUCUUAGCUACCAAUAAAUAAUUUAUCUGCAGUGGCAGUAAUUCAUAAAGGGCAACAUUGUUUUCUUGUGUUGUGAUUGAAGGUUUUUACAGGGUUCUAUAAAGAAAUGUUCUCCUUACGGUAUGAACAUCCAUGCUCUGGAUUGGACUGUUUGCUAAAGCACUACAAUUAUAAUUUAAACAUGUAUAUUUAGUUUAAAAUGCAGAGCAAAAUCAGAAUAUUAUGGAUUAGAAAUUCUUGAAUUUUAAAGCAGCACAAUGUAAAGACAUAUAAAAAUACAAACCGCAACCGAUUAAAAAAAUUAAAAUGAAACACAGAUUCAUUAUAUUUUUACCCAUCCUGAAAAAUAGUCAUAUUCUAGAUGGUUUUCAGCACUGAGUGUGGACUACCUUCAGUUCUGAGUAGUUCUCCUUGGUUCUGGCUCAACAUGAGGUUUUCUGCUGGUCCGGGUGGAGAGAGCAUGGUCGAUUCUCCAUCCUCUCAGCAGGCUUCACAGACAUACCGGCAUCACAGACACACACACACUCAGACACACACACUCAGACACACACACAUACACAUACACACUCAGACACACACACACAGACAUACACAAACAUACACACACACUGGGCUUCUAAUAAUAGUAGAGCUGUUACCAAGGAGCAAUCAGAAGUGAGACUAUGUUUUAUUUAUUUAUUUCACUCAAAUGGAUUUUCAUUUUUCUGGUCGGUGUUCUGAAUGCAAUCUCCUGAAAGGAAGCUUGAUAUUGCUCCCUCUCUCUCUCCCUCUCUCACUCCCUCUCCCUCUCUCUCUCCCUCUCCCUCUCCCUCUCUCUCUCCCUCUCCUUCACUCUCUCUCCCUCUCCCUCAUGUCUCUCCCUCUCCCUCUCUCUCUCCAUCUCCCUCUCUCUCUCCCUCUCCUUCACUCUCUCUCCCUCUCCCUCAUGUCUCUCCCUCUCCCUCAUGUCUCUCCCUCUCCUUCACUCUCUUUCUCUCUCCCUCAUGUCUCUCCCUCUCCUUCACUCUCUUUCUCUCUCCCUCUCUCUCUCCCUCUCCUUCACUCUCUGUCCCUCUCUUUCUCUCUCCCUCAUGUCUCUCCCUCCUUCCCGCCUUCUCUUUGUUUUCCUAUUUCUCCCACUGACCCCCUGUCACCCCAUCAUGUUUUCAUGCAUGUCCUCUGUAAGAGGGAAUAAUGGGAACAUAUUUCCAUUUUUCUGGGAAGCACAGGAGCAAGUCAUCUUUUCCUCUAUAGUUAGGUUUCUGUCAAUCAGUUGGACAUUAAUAGAAUAUUCAGAGUAUUAGGACAUUUCUUGGGUUUUUUCUAAACAAAAAAUAGAAUGAGUUUUCCCUGAAAAAUAGAAUGAGUUUCUAAAUGUUAAGUGCUGCAUCAGCUCUAUGGAUCUGAUAAGGCGUAUUGUUCCUUACUAACUUUCUAAAUAUUAUGUACAAUUUGGCACUGUUUCAUCUUCUCAUUUUUAUAUAAUUUCCU
Esox lucius (northern pike) is the source of this 3644-nucleotide long non-coding RNA. NCBI's taxonomy places the organism in Eukaryota, Metazoa, Chordata, Actinopteri, Esociformes, Esocidae. The record is from Ensembl.